Non-coding RNA from Petromyzon marinus (sea lamprey), 1710 nucleotides. The record is from RefSeq and is a predicted model, not a curated record. Lineage: Eukaryota; Metazoa; Chordata; Hyperoartia; Petromyzontiformes; Petromyzontidae.
AUUCUACGUGACUUUACCGAAAGAACAAAAGAAGAUGAAUCAUUGCAGUCACGAAAGCUUUAAAUCGUGAUUUAGUACGGUUUAUUAGUGGUUUACUACAGUGUUUUAGUACGGAUUAUUAGGGGUUUACUACAGUGUUUUAGUACGGAGUAUUAGUGGUUUACUACAGUGAUUUAGUACGGAUUAUUAGUGGUCUACUUCAGUGUUUUAGUACGGUUUAUUAGUGGUUUACUACAGUGUUUUAGUACGGAUAAUUAGUGGUUUACUACAGUGAUUUAGUACGGAUUAUUAGUGGUCUAGUACAGUGUUUUAGUACGGAUUAUUAGUGGUUUACUACAGUGUUUUAGUACGGAUAAUUAGUGGUUUACUACAGUGUUUUAGUACAGAUUAUUAGUGGUUUACUACAGUGUUUUAGUACGGAUUAUUAGUGGUCUACUACAGUGAUUUAGUACGGAUUAUUAGUGGUUUACUACAGUGUUUUAGUACAGAUUAUUAGUGGUUUACUACAGUGUUUUAGUACGGAUUAUUAGUGGUCUACUACAGUGUUUUAGUACGGAUUAUUAGUGGUCUACUACUGUGUUUUAGUACGGAUAAUUAGUGGUUUACUACAGUGUUUUAGUACGGAUUAUUAGUGGUUUACUACAGUGUUUUAGUACGGAUUAUUAGUGGUCUAGUACAGUGUUUUAGUACGGAUUAUUAGUGGUCUACUACAGUGUUUUAGUACGGAUUAUUAGUGGUCUACUACAGUGUUUUAGUACGGAUUAUUAGUGGUCUACUACAGUGUUUUAGUACGGAUAAUUAGUGGUUUACUACAGUGUUUUAGUACGGAUUAUUAGUGGUUUACUGCAGUGUUUUAGUACGGAUUAUUAGUGGUUUACUGCAGUGAUUUAGUACGGAUUAUUAGUGGUUUACUACAGUGUUUUAGUACGGAUUAUUAGUGGUUUACUACAGUGAUUUAGUACGGAUUAUUAGUGGUCUACUAGUGUUUUAGUACGGAUUAUUAGUGGUUUACUACAGUGUUUUAGUACGGAUUAUUAGUGGUUUACUACAGUGUUUUAGUACGGAUUAUUAGUGGUCUACUACAGUGUUUUAGUACGGAUUAUUAGUGGUCUACUACAGUGAUUUAGUACGGAUUAUUAGUGGUUUACUACAGUGAUUUAGUACGGAGUAUUAGUGGUUUACUACAGUGUUUUAGUACGGUUUAUUAGUGGUUUACUACAGUGUUUUAGUACGGAUUAUUAGUGGUUUACUACAGUGUUUUAGUACGAUUUAUUAGUGGUUUACUACAGUGUUUUAGUACGGAUUAUUAGUGGUUUACUGCAGUGUUUUAGUACCGAUUAUUAGUGGUCUACUGCAGUGUUUUACUAUGGAUUAUUAGUGGUCUACUACAGUGUUUUAGUACGGUUUAUUAGUGGUUUACUACCGUGUUUUAGUACGGAUAAUUAGUGGUCUACUACAGUGUUUUAGUACGGAUUAUUAGUGGUCUACUACAGUGUUUUAGUACGGUUUAUUAGUGGUUUACUACAGUGUUUUAGUACGGAGUAUUAGUGGUUUACUACAGUCUUUUAGUACGGAUUAUUAGUGGUUUACUACAGUGUUUUAGUACGGAUUAUUAGUGCCGUUUCUAAACAGGAAAAAAACAUUCGUCUUGUUUGUUUGUGUUUCUACGUUGUGAUGGAGACUUUGUAGGAUGAAUGUGGAGAUUUAUAA